CCUACGGGAGGCAGCAGUAGGGAAUAUUGCUCAAUGGGGGAAACCCUGAAGCAGCAACGCCGCGUGGAGGAUGACGGCCCUACGGGUUGUAAACUUCUUUUGUCAGGGAGCAAUUGGGUCCACGCGUGGGCUUAGCGAGAGUACCUGAAGAAAAAGCAUCGGCUAACUACGUGCCAGCAGCCGCGGUAAUACGUAGGGGGCAAGCGUUAUCCGGAUUUACUGGGUGUAAAGGGAGCGUAGACGGCGCGGCAAGUCUGAAGUGAAAGGCAGGGGCUUAACCCCUGAACUGCUUUGGAAACUGCCAUGCUAGAGUGCAGGAGAGGUAAGUGGAAUUCCUAGUGUAGCGGUGAAAUGCGUAGAUAUUAGGAGGAACACCAGUGGCGAAGGCGGCUUACUGGACAGUAACUGACGUUGAGGCUCGAAAGCGUGGGGAGCAAACAGGAUUAGAUACCCGUGUAGUC
This 461-nucleotide ribosomal RNA is filed under the name uncultured bacterium. RNAcentral's name for it is "partial 16S ribosomal RNA". It matches the Rfam family "Bacterial small subunit ribosomal RNA", at positions 338 to 795 of the family's 1533-position model. The record is from RNAcentral.